This 1118-nucleotide long non-coding RNA is filed under the name Callithrix jacchus (white-tufted-ear marmoset). RNAcentral describes it as "lncRNA (ENSCJAG00000065093.2)". The record is from RNAcentral. Lineage: Eukaryota; Metazoa; Chordata; Mammalia; Primates; Cebidae.
AAUCAAUCACCUCCUUUAUCAUGCUUUGACAUUCUAGACCACGACCUGCCUUCCUUAAUCACCUCAGAUCCAGGUGCCAGAGAAGUAAAGGCAGCCCCCACACCCCAGAGCCAGCUGAAAUUACUCACAUUAGUAUGUUGAGCUGUUUACCUUCGCUUGCAGGUUCCUUCCUUGGCAACCAAAAUAAAGGCUCCUGCCCACAAUUUCUACUGCUACCUCCUCCUUCUGGUUGAACCCAGUGCUUCUCUGUGUGGCCUUUCAUGGCAUGGCAUAAAUUUUUCUCUUUGGAUCUGUUGGAACCAUUUGGAGAAUUCAGAAGAUGGUAAGAAAAGGUGGGAAAGUUUGGAACCUCCAAAGGACUUGUUGAAUUCUUCAACAAAAAUGCUGAUAGUGAUAUAUGAACAAUAUGGUCUAGGCCUAGGUAUUCUCAGAUGGAGACAAGAAACUUAUUGAGACCUGGAGCAAAGAUGGCACUGGUUACAUUUUAGCAAAGAGACUGGUAGCGUAUUGCCUCUUCCCUAGACCUUUGCACAAUUUUGAACUUGAGAGAGAUGAUUUAGGGUAUCUAGAAGAAGAAAUUUCUAAGCAGCAAAGCAUUCAAAAGAUGACUUAGGUUCUGUUAAAAACAUUCCAUUUUAAAAGGGAAACAGAGCAUAAAAGUUCAGAAAAUUUGCAGCCUGGCAGUGCAGUAGAAAAGAAAACCCCAUUUUUUGAGGAGAAAUUCAAGCUGGCUGCAGAAAUUUGCAUAAGUAGCAAAGCGCUUAAUGCUAAUCACCAGGAUCAUGGGGAAAAUAUUUCCUGGCCACAUCAGAGACCUUCUCGGAAGCCCCUCCCAUCACAGACCCAGAGGCCCAGGAGGCAAAAAUGGUUUCCUGGGCUAGGCCCAAGGUCUCUGUAGUGUGUGCAGCCUAGGGUCUUGGUGUCCUGUGUCCCAGCCACUCCAGAUGUGGCUGAAAGGGGCUAAUAUAGAGCUCAAGUUGUGGCUUUAGAGGGUAGGAGUCCAAAGCCUUGGCAGCUUCCAUGUGGUGUUGAGCCUGUGGGUACACAGAAGUCAAGAAUUGAGGUUUUGGAACCUCUGCCUUGAUUUCAGAAGAUACAUGGAAAUGCCUGGAUGCUUG